AUUGAACGCUGGCGGCAUGCUUUACACAUGCAAGUCGAACGGCAGCACAGGGAGCUUGCUCCCGGGUGGCGAGUGGCGCACGGGUGAGUAAUACAUCGGAACGUGUCCUGUUGUGGGGGGAUAACUGCUCGAAAGGGUGGCUAAUACCGCAUGAGACCUGAGGGUGAAAGCGGGGGAUCGCAAGACCUCGCGCAAUUGGAGCGGCCGAUGCCCGAUUAGCUAGUUGGUGAGGUAAAGGUUCACCAAGGCGACGAUCGGUAGCUGGUCUGAGAGGACGACCAGCCACACUGGGACUGAGACACGGCCCAGACUCCUACGGGAGGCAGCAGUGGGGAAUUUUGGACAAUGGGGGCAACCCUGAUCCAGCCAUGCCGCGUGCAGGAUGAAGGCCUUCGGGUUGUAAACUGCUUUUGUCAGGGACGAAAAGGACCGUGUUAAUACCAUGGUCUGCUGACGGUACCUGAAGAAUAAGCACCGGCUAACUACGUG
This 489-nucleotide ribosomal RNA is filed under the name uncultured bacterium. RNAcentral's name for it is "bacterial SSU rRNA". It matches the Rfam family "Bacterial small subunit ribosomal RNA", at positions 30 to 507 of the family's 1533-position model. The record is from RNAcentral.